UACCAGCACCCCGAGUGGUCGGGACGAUUAUUGGGCCUAAAGCAUCCGUAGCCGGUCCUGCAAGUCUUCCGUUAAAUCCAGCUGCUCAACAGAUGGGCUGCGGGGGAUACUACAGGGCUAGGAGGCGGGAGAGGCAAGCGGUACUUUAUAGGUAGGGGUAAAAUCCGUUGAUCCAUAGAAGACCACCAGUGGCGAAGGCGGCUUGCCAGAACGCGCUCGACGGUGAGGGAUGAAAGCUGGGGGAGCAAACAGG
Molecule: ribosomal RNA, 253 nt
Filed under: uncultured bacterium
Lineage: Bacteria
Description: partial 16S ribosomal RNA
Rfam family: Archaeal small subunit ribosomal RNA
Source: RNAcentral